This 232-nucleotide ribosomal RNA is filed under the name uncultured bacterium. RNAcentral describes it as "partial 16S ribosomal RNA". It matches the Rfam family "Bacterial small subunit ribosomal RNA", at positions 99 to 334 of the family's 1533-position model. The record is from RNAcentral.
CGGACGGGUGAGUAAUGUCUGGGAAACUGCCUGAUGGAGGGGGAUAACUACUGGAAACGGUAGCUAAUACCGCAUAACGUCGCAAGACCAAAGAGGGGGACCCUUGGCCCUCUUGCCAUCGGAUGUGCCCAGAUGGGAUUAGCUAGUAGGUGGGGUAAAGGCUCACCUAGGCGACGAUCCCUAGCUGGUCUGAGAGGAUGACCAGCCACACUGGAACUGAGACACGGUCCAG